This 109-nucleotide small RNA is filed under the name Marmota monax (woodchuck). The record is from RNAcentral. Lineage: Eukaryota; Metazoa; Chordata; Mammalia; Rodentia; Sciuridae.
GCCGGGUGCAGUGGCGCACGCCUGUAAUCCCAGCAGCUCGAGAGGCUGAGACAGGAGGAUCACGAGUUCAAAGCAAGGCGUUAAGCAACUCAGUGAGACCCUGUCUCUA